RNAcentral lists this ribosomal RNA (956 nucleotides) under uncultured Campylobacterota bacterium. RNAcentral describes it as "bacterial SSU rRNA". It matches the Rfam family "Bacterial small subunit ribosomal RNA", at positions 494 to 1446 of the family's 1533-position model. Lineage: Bacteria; Pseudomonadati; Campylobacterota. The record is from RNAcentral.
CGGCUAACUCCGUGCCAGCAGCCGCGGUAAUACGGAGGGAGCAAGCGUUAUUCGGAAUCACUGGGCGUAAAGGACGCGUAGGCGGGUUAUUAAGUCAGAUGUGAAAUCNUAUGGCUCAACCAUAGAACUGCAUUUGAAACUGGUAACCUAGAGUAUGGAAGGGGAAAAUGGAAUUAGUGGUGUAGGGGUAAAAUCCGUAGAUAUCACUAGGAAUACUGAAAGCGAAGGCGAUUUUCUGGGACAUUACUGACGCUGAGGCGUGAAAGCGUGGGGAGCAAACAGGAUUAGAUACCCUGGUAGUCCACGCCCUAAACGAUGAAUGCUAGUCGUCGGAGAGCUCGUCUCUUCGGUGAUGCAGUUAACACAUUAAGCAUUCCGCCUGGGGAGUACGGUCGCAAGAUUAAAACUCAAAGGAAUAGACGGGGACCCGCACAAGUGGUGGAGCAUGUGGUUUAAUUCGAAGAUACGCGAAGAACCUUACCUGGCCUUGACAUUGAUUGAAUCACUCAGAGAUGAGAGAGUGCCCUUCGGGGAACAUGAAAACAGGUGCUGCACGGCUGUCGUCAGCUCGUGUCGUGAGAUGUUGGGUUAAGUCCCGCAACGAGCGCAACCCUCGUCGUUAGUUGCUAACAGUUCGGCUGAGCACUCUAGCGAGACUGCCUUCGCAAGGAGGAGGAAGGUGAGGACGACGUCAAGUCAUCAUGGCCCUUACGGCCAGGGCUACACACGUGCUACAAUGGGGCGUACAGAGAGUUGCGAUACCGCGAGGUGGAGCUAAUCUCAUAAAGCGUCUCUCAGUUCGGAUUGGAGUCUGCAACUCGACUCCAUGAAGCUGGAAUCACUAGUAAUCGUAGAUCAGCAAUGCUACGGUGAAUACGUUCCCGGGUCUUGCACUCNNNNCCCGUCAAUCCCGCGGCCAUGGCGGCCGGGAGCAUGCGACGUCGGGCCCAAUCGCC